UACGUAGGGACCGAGCGUUGUCCGGAAUCAUUGGGCGUAAAGAGCGUGUAGGCGGCCACUUAAGUCCUGCGUGAAAUCUUGCGGCUCAACCGCAAGCGGUCGUGGGAAACUGGGUGGCUAGAGUGCGGGAGAGGAGAGUGGAAUUCCCGGUGUAGUGGUGAUAUGCGUAGAUAUCGGGAGGAACACCUGUGGCGAAGGCGGCUUUCUGGGCCUUACCUGACGCUGAGACGCGGAAGCGUGGGGAGCGAACCGG
Molecule: ribosomal RNA, 253 nt
Filed under: uncultured bacterium
Lineage: Bacteria
Description: partial 16S ribosomal RNA
Rfam family: Bacterial small subunit ribosomal RNA
Source: RNAcentral